RNAcentral lists this transfer RNA (66 nucleotides) under Trichonephila inaurata madagascariensis. It matches the Rfam family "tRNA". Rfam says of the family: Transfer RNA (tRNA) molecules are approximately 80 nucleotides in length. Their secondary structure includes four short double-helical elements and three loops (D, anti-codon, and T loops). The record is from Rfam by way of RNAcentral. Lineage: Eukaryota; Metazoa; Arthropoda; Arachnida; Araneae; Nephilidae.
GUUCCUGUAGCGCAAUGGAUAGCGCGUUGGACUUCUAAUCCAAAGGUUCGAAUCCUACCUGGGAUG